RNAcentral lists this ribosomal RNA (623 nucleotides) under Salmonella enterica subsp. enterica serovar Lille. Its description in RNAcentral is "partial 23S ribosomal RNA". It matches the Rfam family "Bacterial large subunit ribosomal RNA", at positions 1 to 652 of the family's 2925-position model. The record is from RNAcentral. Lineage: Bacteria; Pseudomonadati; Pseudomonadota; Gammaproteobacteria; Enterobacterales; Enterobacteriaceae.
GGGUUGUGAGGUUAAGCGAACAAGCGUACACGGUGGAUGCCCUGGCAGUCAGAGGCGAUGAAGGACGUGCUAAUCUGCGAUAAGCGCCGGUAAGGUGAUAUGAACCGUUAUAACCGGCGAUUUCCGAAUGGGGAAACCCAGUGUGACUCGUCACACUAUCAUUAACUGAAUCCAUAGGUUAAUGAGGCGAACCGGGGGAACUGAAACAUCUAAGUACCCCGAGGAAAAGAAAUCAACCGAGAUUCCCCCAGUAGCGGCGAGCGAACGGGGAGGAGCCCAGAGCCUGAAUCAGCAUGUGUGUUAGUGGAAGCGUCUGGAAAGGCGCGCGAUACAGGGUGACAGCCCCGUACACAAAAGCGCAUGUGCUGUGAGCUCGAUGAGUAGGGCGGGACACGUGGUAUCCUGUCUGAAUAUGGGGGGACCAUCCUCCAAGGCUAAAUACUCCUGACUGACCGAUAGUGAACCAGUACCGUGAGGGAAAGGCGAAAAGAACCCCGGCGAGGGGAGUGAAAAAGAACCUGAAACCGUGUACGUACAAGCAGUGGGAGCACAGGUUUACCUGUGUGACUGCGUACCUUUUGUAUAAUGGGUCAGCGACUUAUAUUCUGUAGCAAGGUUAACCG